This is a long non-coding RNA of Myotis davidii, 353 nucleotides long. RefSeq lists it as uncharacterized. The transcript is spliced from 3 exons. Lineage: Eukaryota; Metazoa; Chordata; Mammalia; Chiroptera; Vespertilionidae. The record is from RefSeq and is a predicted model, not a curated record.
CGGCUGAAAAAGAAGUGGGAGAAUGAUACGAAUUUGAAUAACUUCUUCCUAAAAACACUAAAGGGAGACUGCAAGGGAUUGUAUCAAUGCGCGCUGCACUGGAAGAAAGAGCUGGAGAGAACAGCUGCAUCAACCACUGCCACAGCCGCUGUCCCAUCCAAGGCCACAACCAACACGCCCAUCACCUGGUGGAUCUACCCUGUGAUCCUCAUCUGCGCAACCAUAGUUGGCAUCCUAGGCUGCUGAUGCGACCAAGGAGGCCCUGGUGGUGUGGACUAGCUUAGCGCCUCUGCCCUUCGCUUGGCUUCCUCUAGAUGACCUGCUGUACUUUUUUUUUUUUAAUCAUUUAUCUU